GACGAACGCUGGCGGCGUGCUUAACACAUGCAAGUCGAGCGGAAAGGCCCUUCGGGGUACUCGAGCGGCGAACGGGUGAGUAACACGUGAGUAACCUGCCCCAGACUUUGGGAUAACCCUCGGAAACGGGGGCUAAUACCGGAUACGACACAGCUUCGCAUGGGGUCUGUGUGGAAAGUUUUUCGGUUUGGGAUGGGCUCGCGGCCUAUCAGCUUGUUGGUGGGGUGUUGGCCUACCAAGGCGACGACGGGUAGCCGGCCUGAGAGGGCGACCGGCCACACUGGGACUGAGACACGGCCCAGACUCCUACGGGAGGCAGCAGUGGGGAAUAUUGCACAAUGGGCGGAAGCCUGAUGCAGCGACGCCGCGUGAGGGAUGACGGCCUUCGGGUUGUAAACCUCUUUCAGCAGGGACGAAGCGUAAGUGACGGUACCUGCAGAAGAAGCGCCGGCCAACUACGUG
Molecule: ribosomal RNA, 462 nt
Filed under: uncultured bacterium
Lineage: Bacteria
Description: partial 16S ribosomal RNA
Rfam family: Bacterial small subunit ribosomal RNA
Source: RNAcentral